RNAcentral lists this ribosomal RNA (289 nucleotides) under uncultured bacterium. Its description in RNAcentral is "partial 16S ribosomal RNA". It matches the Rfam family "Bacterial small subunit ribosomal RNA", at positions 92 to 382 of the family's 1533-position model. The record is from RNAcentral.
AGAGUGGCGAACGGGUGAGUAAUAUAUCGGAACGUGCCCAGUCGUGGGGGAUAACGCAGCGAAAGCUGUGCUAAUACCGCAUACGAUCUCUGGAUGAAAGCGGGGGACUCGCAGGGGCCUCGCGCGAUUGGAGCGGCCGAUAUCAGAUUAGCUAGUUGGUGGGGUAAAACCCCACCAAGGCGACGAUAUGUAGCUGGUCUGAGAGGACGACCAGCCACACUUGAAAGGAGACACGGUCCAGACUCCUACGGGAGGCAGCAGUGGGGAAUUUAGGACAAUGGGCGCCCGC